Molecule: ribosomal RNA, 259 nt
Filed under: uncultured bacterium
Lineage: Bacteria
Description: partial 16S ribosomal RNA
Rfam family: Bacterial small subunit ribosomal RNA
Source: RNAcentral
GUCCACGCCCUAAACGAUGGAUACUCGACAUACGCGAUAUACUGUGUGUGUAUGAGCGAAAGCAUUAAGUAUCCCACCUGGGAAGUACGAUCGCAAGAUUGAAACUCAAAGGAAUUGACGGGGUCCGCACAAGCGGUGGAGCAUGUGGUUUAAUUCGAUGAUACGCGAGGAACCUUACCUGGGCUAGAAUGCGGUUUGACCGUAGGUGAAAGCUUAUUUGUAGCAAUACACAGAUCGUAAGGUGCUGCAUGGCUGUCGU